GCACUCCAUUAGUUUAUGAUUCAUUCUCCCGUGUGUCUGGUAUAUAUGUACCUCAGGAGUCCUCAAGCUUACUCGAUUUUUCUUAAUAUUUUUAGAACAUAUUGCCUUACGAGUGCAUUCGUAUUCGUUAACUUGACCGUUCGUUCUUCGAAGUGAACGUAAUCGAUCGAACGUGACUGAUACCGCAGUGUUUCAACGAUUAAAGAGUGACAUAUAUAAAUCUAUGGUUUGCGCGUUCCGACAGAAGCGAGGGAGAGGAGAGGAAGAGAGAUGGGUUGGUGGAUGAAUUACUACAAUUUGCUUAAUAGUUAAUAGACUCAAUUCCUCCGUUUUUUUUUUAUUUGUGGCGACUUCAGCCUCGAUAAACAUGGAUCCAUGGGAUUGUAUUUAAAGAACAGAUGCACAAUGUUGUAGAUUAUGUAGAAAUAACCCAAAUGUGAAGGCUAAGCGCGAAUACCGGACCUUGCGCACCAAAGUCCGGCGCUUUAGCCAUAUCUCAAACACCGUGCGUCUAGACUUCAAAUUUCUGGUAUGCUUUUACGAUCCAUUCACGAUGCCCGCAUAUGCGACCAUACUGCCAUAUCUCAUCCUAGGAAUGUUAGGUCCUAUAUUGGGACACGAUGUCAAAGGUUCUUCGGUUUGCGAAUUUUACAAUGAAACAAUGUGUGCAGAAUCCCAGCAAGAAUGCUCUGGGAGAGAAGAAUGUGGGCCACAUGAUCCAGGCAAAAGAAAUCAUUGUUAUGUAUUGUGGCAGAUUGACAAUGCCACUAAGAAAUCUAUAAUUAAGUUAAAGGGGUGCUUUUUGGAUAGUAAUGAUUGCUAUGACAGACCACAUUGUAUUGAAAAUAGUGCAGAGAGGAAAAAAGAGUUAUUUUUUUGUUGCUGUGAUGGAAAUAUGUGUAAUCAGAAUUUUACAUGGGAUCCUCAUCCAACUUCUUCUUCCAAGCCUAUUUUGCAUGAUCCAGAACCUGUUCCAAAUACAGAGCAACAAAUAAUAACACUUGUUUUAUCAAUAUCAAUACCUAUGCUUCUUCUUGCUAUUGUUCUGCCAUUUUUGUAUUGGUGUUAUAGACGACGGAAGUUGAGAUAUUUCAACGAGGUACCAACAUUAGAACCUCUUCCAUUGCCACAACCAUCUCCUAAUUUGGGAUUACGUCCAAUACAACUUUUAGAGAUUAAAGCUCGUGGUCGUUUUGGAGCAGUGUGGAAAGCACAAUUGAAAAAUGAAAUUGUUGCUGUAAAAGUAUUUCCUAUACAAGACAAACAGUCUUGGCAAACUGAACAAGAAAUUUUCAAACUUGCACAUAUGGAUCAUGAAGACAUUUUGCGUUUCAUAGGCGUUGAGAAAAGAGGAGAUAACUUACAAACUGAAUUCUGGUUAAUUACUGCAUACCAUGAAAAAGGUUCAUUAUGUGAUUACCUGAAAGCAAACGUUGUUACAUGGCCUGAGAUGUGUAGAAUAGCAGAAUCUAUGGCAAGAGGCUUGAUGCACUUACAUGAAGAAAUUCCUGCCAAUAAAGCAGAUGGCUAUAAACCUGCUGUGGCUCACAGGGAUUUUAAGUCAAAAAAUGUAUUACUGAAAGCUGAUAUGAGUGCCUGUAUAGCAGAUUUUGGUUUAGCCCUAAUAUUUCAUCCUGGAAAACCUUGCGGCGAUACACAUGGACAGGUUGGAACAAGAAGGUACAUGGCACCAGAGGUUUUAGAAGGAGCCAUUAAUUUCACGAGAGAUUCAUUUUUACGAAUCGAUAUGUACGCUUGUGGUCUGGUGCUUUGGGAAUUGGCUUCACGAUGCACUGUACAGGAUGGACCAAUUGGGGAAUAUAGAUUACCUUUUGAAGAUGAAGUAGGUCUCCAUCCCACUUUAGAAGACAUGCAAGAAAGUGUUGUGCACAAAAAAGAAAGGCCAGUUAUCUUAGAAACGUGGCGUAAACAUCCCGGACUUCAGUCAAUUUGUGAUACAAUGGAGGAGUGUUGGGAUCAUGAUGCUGAAGCACGCCUUUCAGCUUCUUGUGUAAUGGAAAGAGUUGCUACAUUGAGUAGGACACUUGUUUUAAAUUCGUCAACGUUAAUACGAGUUGAUAAUACCAACGAGACUAUCACCACUAAGGAAUCUAGCUAUGUCCAUAUAAACCUCGACACACAUGAAUAGAGGCGUCACAUUGUAAUUAUGCGGCCCGAGGAAAGGCAACCAAGAAACGAUUCUUAAGCUAUUUUUCCGGCGGAGACAAAAACCGAGCAGGAACAAGGUCACUGGAUCUUAACGUUUCUAAAUAAGAGGAGGAUGAAUCAGUCUUAGCGCAAUUAUCGUACGCCACUUGAGCUAAAUUGAUCGUUUCCAGUUCGCAAUUUGAAACCACCAUAUUGGUUCGAUAAACGCCUCGAUAGAUAACGUCCCAAAGAUUUUUAAUUCUUUAAUCGUUGUCUUCAAAAUAUCUGUACAAAGGUAAAAGGUGUAUCUAUAUCCCUAGAUUCUGGUAUCUUGACAUAUAUCUCUAAAUAUACUUAUGUUCCUACUAGGUCCCUAGGUCUCAAGAUAUUUGUAGAUGCAGUACUGUAUCCGUCACUAGAUAUUUCAGUUCAUUUCUAGAUUUCUAUAUCGAUUUCCAGAUUGCAAAAAUUUAGCAAUACGUUGCAUCACUUGUUAAGUAGUUUAAGUAAAAAGAAAAGUAAGGUGAAAUUUUGCUGGUGUUUAAUUGCUAAUGAUGGAUGUUUGCAGUGUAUACGAUGAUAUUAGCGCAAAAUGCGGUACAGAAUGUAGUCCUUCGACGAGACGUAACCUUCGCAUCGAUUUUAUGUAUAGCAGAGGUCAAUGACGUAUUAGGUUGAACUAUGUUUCGGAAAUGCGUCGAGUGUAAAAGGUAUUUCUUUGGUUUCAUCCGCGAGAUGUAGAUUUGUACCGGUGAUUACGUUAAUGUAGACGGGAAAUAGAGAUACGCCCACGGUGCUAGAAAACGAGUCGAUAUUAGAAGCGACCAAAGUACUCACGUUCAUAGUGAAGGGACAGCUGACAGUCGAUCCACGUACACUCAACACUGCCACGAAUUAUGACAUCGCGUGAAAUUUCGCGUGGAUAUCACUUUACGAUUACGGUGUAAUUAUAUACGCAUGUCACUUCUUAAAAAUCACGAAGACGUACUUUCCGGAAUGCAUAUUCUGAGUCACUCUGUCGAGGAGAGCCCCUCCCUGACUGCAACAACCCUUGUCUAACGUGAAAUGCGCAUGCUCUCGAAUUCGACUGGUCGUUUCUGGCGAAAGGGGAUGAUUCCGUUCUUAGCACUUAGGUCCUCCUCGCGUGCAAUUUCAAGCACUAACACCCCGACCAAGUAUCGUCGUUCGAAUCCAUGCAAGGGGAACGGCGAUAAGGAACUGUCGGUGGUAUAUUCAACCCCCUAAUGUUUUUGAGGUUAUGCUGCGCAUGUCUAAGCACCCUCUCCAAUCCUCAAUCAUCGAACGGCUGAUCCAUGAUUCUCUCCCUCUCAGUCUUUCAAAUAUUUUCAAUGAUAAUUCUCCUCGAACAACAAGAUUAUUCGUGCAUGAGUAAUCAUUUACCGAUAACGGUGAAUGUCACUGAUUUUCGCAACACACUUUCUUCGAGACGAGUGUUACGAUUCUGAACCCGCUUCGCCUUAUAUUGAUUUUCUGCGCUUUGAUAUCCGUGUCUGGAAAGGUUGUUAUUUCUUUGCGUGACCUUAUGCUUGCAGCUUUACUGCAGAUGGGGGCGAUAGUGACCGAAUAAAAUCGUUUGAUGUUCGAGAAAUUUUUUAUAUUUAUUCGAUAAUCAAAAAAUCGUGUUUUAAAGAUUUAUUAAUAUAUCAAAUCAUUUUUACUACUCAAUGCACAGUGUUAGAUAUGUUUGAAAAUAGCGCAUUGACCACAUGCCUAAUUAUUAUUAAAACAGUUAAUAUAUAUGAGUUACCAUACUUAAAAAAACGUAAUUUCAGAAUCAUAAAACAGAUGAUAUAUGACAAUAAAUUUCUUAAAGAUAAUUUCAACAAUUGUUAUGUGUUUGACUUCAGUCAUACAGCAAUCAAUCGAUGCGCGCCAUUUUUUUGAAUUUUUGAAAGUCGACCAAUCAGCGUCCUCUGUAGGCGAGAGCAGACUGCAUUACGAAAUGUCAGUCAGUACAGUUCGACGCAUUAAUGUAGGACGAAGUACAUCCCACUUUUUGAGCCUCUGUGAAGCCUCUUUCCUGUACCCCACCAUUUUCUCCAGGAACGUGUACCAUUCUCGUUGAUGUACAGCACGUGGUGAGUAAUUAAUUUACGAUGUUUACACCGGUACUGUCAUAAACUUUAAAUGAUAGUAUCAGUCUUUGAAUCUGGUAAGAAUAAUUCGCGUUAAUAUGUCGUACAAUGUAACAUAAUAUAUCAAAAAGGUAAGGGUGAGCGGUACAUGUAUUUUUUUUGUAUGUAUUAAGAGUGGUCAAUAGGUUCAAUACAAAAAAAAAAUUAGAAAAAUUGAUCUGCCUUUUAUUUGAUAUGCAUAUAAUUGACAAAUGUUAACUUUGUACCAGAACAAUACUUUAUUAUCUUAUCUUGUAAGGUACAAAAUAAAUACUUUUAUAAAAAAUAUAAAUUUUCAAUACAUUGCAUAUAAAUGACAUACAUGUAUGCAAAAAUUCGUACACAGUAACAUCAAUGUUAAAAGGAUAUGUCCCUAUUGAUUGUCACAGGUUUGAUGGAAGUUACACAUGAUCAUACUAACUAUUUUACUCUAAAAUUGUAAAGUAAUUAUGUACAGGCCUUAGUUUAAUCGAGGUGUAUGCUAUAGGUAUCUCCUAUUAAAGAUAUUAAUGAAAUAUAUUAUCUAAGGAUUCUAUAGAAAAUGUAAGAGAUAUUCUUUUGUGCGUAUUUUUAAAUUCACUUUUUAUGGUUUGGCAUGAUUAUAGAGGAACUGUUGUACUUAAGCAUACAUGUUGCGACUCUUUUAUGUUACAAUAUUAUCUUUCUAACUUUCAAAUUAACACUUGUAUUAUACAAACUGUAUUAUAUUUGUGCUAUGAUUAAUUGAUUGCGACAUAAUGACGACGAAAGCAAACAUAUGUAAAUUUUUACUCGGAAACCAUAUUAAGUACGUACAUGUAUGUACAUGUCGCAUUUGAAAUUAAAUAUUUGAUU
RNAcentral lists this unclassified non-coding RNA (5117 nucleotides) under Megachile rotundata (alfalfa leafcutting bee). RNAcentral's name for it is "activin receptor type-2A, transcript variant X5". The record is from RNAcentral. Lineage: Eukaryota; Metazoa; Arthropoda; Insecta; Hymenoptera; Megachilidae.